GAUCUGGCUCAGAACGAACGCUGGCGGCAGGCUUAACACAUGCAAGUUGAACGGGAUUGUUAAGUAGCUUGCUAUUUAACAAGAGAGUAGCGCACUGGUGAGUAACACGUGGGAACGUACCUUUUGGUGGGGGACAACAUCUGGAAACGGAUGCUAAUACCGCAUAAGACCUGAGGGUGAAAGAUUUAUCGCCGAAAGAACGGCCCGCGGAAGAUUAGGCAGUUGGUGGUGUAAAGGCCUACCAAACCUACGAUCUAUAG
Molecule: ribosomal RNA, 260 nt
Filed under: uncultured bacterium
Lineage: Bacteria
Description: partial 16S ribosomal RNA
Rfam family: Bacterial small subunit ribosomal RNA
Source: RNAcentral